Molecule: long non-coding RNA, 752 nt
Organism: Trifolium pratense (red clover)
Lineage: Eukaryota; Viridiplantae; Streptophyta; Magnoliopsida; Fabales; Fabaceae
Exons: 6
Source: RefSeq, a predicted model, not a curated record
GUGGGGGGCAACUUAAGGGUCCAGCUAUAGACACAGUCCUUGCAUUAAUGUAAUAUUUUCUUCAAAUUGGACAAGUGAUUGACCAAAUGCACAGUUUCAAAGGCUUUGAAAUAUUUCAUAUUAUUGGGCCUUUGCUUAGCAACACAAUCAGUGUGAUAUGUUUUUGUUCUAUAAAAAACAAGUAAUGGCAACAAACCAUUCGUUCCUCAAUCCAUCGUCAGCGGCAUCACUCCUUCAACCUACACAGUAACUUGAACAUGAUCGAAGGAAUGUGCAGCUUCAGCCUAUCCUUGGGAAAUAAACCUAAAUUGAAAGAGCAUAUGCAAUAAUGUGUUGGUCAUGCUGAGGAGAUUAAAAAGCUUGCUAAAGUUCACACUCAGGAAGUCACUGAUAACUUGAUUUUGAAGUUGAUAGAGGACUUAAUAAUAUGAUAAUAUCAUUAGAGUGAAAAAUCUAGCUGCGUCCUUCUCUCAUAAUAUGAUGAUAUUUGCCCUUCUCUGGACUAUGUCCACUUUGCAGCAUCUCUGUCUUCAAGUCAUUAAUUUUUCAAGUUUCAUGGUCCUCGCCCUGUCAGACGGAAUCGAGUUAAAGCGUAUUUAUAUAGUUUACCAUUGCUACGAAGGAAAAGAGUAUGAAAAGAUUUGGCUUCAUUUAUCAAGUAUAAAAGAUAUAUGAGUAAAUAUUCGUUGAAUCCAUUAUUGCAUGAUCCCCGUAGGAUCUACCUUUGAUGACUUAAGAGUGUUGACCACAUG